This is a long non-coding RNA of Podarcis raffonei (Aeolian wall lizard), 1317 nucleotides long. RefSeq lists it as uncharacterized. The record is from RefSeq and is a predicted model, not a curated record. The transcript has 5 exons. NCBI's taxonomy places the organism in Eukaryota, Metazoa, Chordata, Lepidosauria, Squamata, Lacertidae.
UCCUGAGAGAAGCAGGUCUCUGGCAGAUGUUUAUUGUGGGUUUUCAAACAUGAAAUUCCUUGUCUAUUUAGCUCCAGGGAUUUUUAUUUUUAUUUUUCUCUGAUUAACCUUCUGGACUUUUUAAAGGCAUUAUUUUCCAGGGCCAGCCCUACCAUUAGGCAGAGUGAGGUGGUAAUCUCAGGCAGCUAGUUGUGGAUGUCAUGAAAAAGCUGCAAAUUGUAAGUUAUUAAAUUUAAUAUGAUUGCGCUUUUCCUCCCAGGCAGAGGCAUUUGUUAUACAUUCUGCUUCAGGUGCCAAAAAUAACUUGGUCAGCCCUGGGUACAAUACAACUGACUGGUGGGGUAGUGAUUUGCUCGUCUGCCUCAGAUGGCAAAAUGCUGGGUCUGUUUGUUUCUUAUUUGUGUUUAUGAAAGGGAGGGAAGGAUUGAGAUGCACCUUGUUGGGCAUAUCCAAGAAGGAAUGAGCUGAAGGGAGAUGAUAGUAUAUUUGAGUUGUAUAUACUUUGAUACAUAUAAGGAAAUUGAUUAAAAAAACUGAAUCGCUCUCUCUUUGUACAAUUAUUUUCCUUUCUGGAGAGAAUGACCACUGGAGCUACACACAAUGGGUAUAGCAUGCAAAUUUAAUGCCACCUACCAUGACUGACUAACAGCUUUGGCAUAGAUUAAUGUCUCCCAUAAAAUUCACCCUCUCCAGUUCAUGUUUUUUGUAUAAGGAGUCUGCUACAGCUAACAAAACAGAUAUGAAAGCAGCAUCUUUGGACCUUGAAACUAGAAAUGAUGAACCAGCUUAUGGCUUUGUCUCAGAACAAUUCUGAAAACACAAUUCAAAGCUUUGAAUGGUUAAUUCAUGGUGGACUGAAGCAUCACAUGUCUGAAGAAUGCAGGAAGUCUGGUACCCAGAAUUCAGUUAUGACUUCAGAAGGAACAAUUGUCUCUGUGUACCUAAUUGAUUACUUUUAACAUGCUUCUGAAAGACUGUGGGUGGUAGGCCUGUUAUUGCUUACAGACACACCCCAUCUAAAACAGCUACCAUUCUCAAUAACAGAGACAUGUGUACAAGGACCAGACUUUGCAACAAACCCAGAUGCCAACCCUUCCAUUGUGUCAGAUUAUUGGUCCAUCUAGAACAGUCCAUCUAGAACACUGAUUGGCAGCCACUGUCCAGGAUUUUUGAUUUGAGUAUAAAUAAAGACAAUAUUUCCCUUUCCAACUACAGAAGUUAACUCAGCAGUGCCAAGUUGAUUUAUCGCUCGUAACUGUUAUUGUAAAAAGUCACUGUAGUUAUUUUACAUAAAUUCUAGGUCUCAUUCAAUUGUCA